Molecule: non-coding RNA, 289 nt
Organism: Caenorhabditis elegans
Lineage: Eukaryota; Metazoa; Nematoda; Chromadorea; Rhabditida; Rhabditidae
Gene: anr-27
Product: ncRNA
Source: Ensembl
CUUUCGAGAACAACAGCUACUUGCAAUACUUGCCACCUAGAGAAAUUGACGUCGUAUUUGACAAAUUUACCUCCAAAAUUAUUGAUCUCGGACUGCCUGUGGUACCAGAGUUAAAAAGGGAACUACUUAAUCUACGGGAGCUUAAUGAUGAACCGUCCAACUAUGUUAUACAAGAGGAAGAUUUCGAAGAUGAAAAAUAAGAGAAAAAUGAUUUCCUCCCACGAAUCAUUCGACUUUUAAUUUAAAUAAAGUAUGUACUAUUGAACAGUUUAUAACUCCGUAUCAUAUU